RNAcentral lists this ribosomal RNA (192 nucleotides) under Triticum aestivum (bread wheat). RNAcentral describes it as "partial small subunit ribosomal RNA". The record is from RNAcentral. Lineage: Eukaryota; Viridiplantae; Streptophyta; Magnoliopsida; Poales; Poaceae.
AUGGCCACUCUCUUCCGCGAGCGCUGUCUUUGGCAAAAUUUUAGUGAGCAAUGCCUGCCGGAGUCACAGGACUCCUGCUACCCGGAGGAGCAAUAUUUACGGACACCGCUCGACGUGGCCGACCCCGCCGGCUGCACCUGGUACACGCUCACGCGCAUCAACUAUACUGACAGUGUCGACGGCGACCCAUAG